Megalobrama amblycephala (Wuchang bream) is the source of this 261-nucleotide long non-coding RNA. RefSeq lists it as uncharacterized. The record is from RefSeq and is a predicted model, not a curated record. The transcript has 3 exons. Lineage: Eukaryota; Metazoa; Chordata; Actinopteri; Cypriniformes; Xenocyprididae.
AGAGACGGACGUCAGGAGUCAGUGAAGAUGAUCAGAUGAAGACUGAUGAAAGAAAGACACGGAGGAGAGAAUAAAAUCUGAACAUGUCUGCCGCUGACACCAGAGUGAUCGUUGCCCACAUUCCUCCUCGCAGGAGAAGAUGGAGCAAAGACGAACCUCCUAUGAUGAGGAUUGUUCUUCUGGGGAAGAGCGUGUCAGAAAACAGUGGCGUGGGAAACUUCCUGUUGGGACGAGCAGCGUUCGACAGUGAAGCUCCUCCAG